GACGAACGCUGGCGGCGUGCUUAACACAUGCAAGUCGAGCGGUAAGGCCCUUUCGGGGGGUACACGAGCGGCGAACGGGUGAGUAACACGUGGGUGACCUGCCCUCAGCUCUGGGAUAAGCCUGGGAAACCGGGUCUAAUACUGGAUAUGACUCCAUGACGCAUGUUGGUGGGGUGGAAAGCCUUGUGCGGCUGAGGAUGGGCCCGCGGCCUAUCAGCUUGUUGGUGGGGCGANGGCCUACCAAGGCGACGACGGGUAGCCGGCCUGAGAGGGCGACCGGCCACACUGGGACUGAGAC
This 298-nucleotide ribosomal RNA is filed under the name uncultured bacterium. Its description in RNAcentral is "partial 16S ribosomal RNA". It matches the Rfam family "Bacterial small subunit ribosomal RNA", at positions 28 to 325 of the family's 1533-position model. The record is from RNAcentral.